CAAAGUUGUCAGUCUCACUCUCCCUUCCAGAGUCACUAUUCAACUUGGCAUGUCAAGUGCCCAAAGGGUGACUAUCCCCACUCCCAAGUAAUUUUGUUUCAGGGGCUUAGAUGAAGCUGUUCUACCACUGGGCUGGCCCACCACUGGAAUACUGGAUUCCAAAAUGGCUUAAUGCUUUUACACAAGCCCUCAGGACAUGAUUGAUUCUCCCCAGCCAAUCACAAGACAUUUCCUGUAUGGAGUCAUUUGCUUUCAUCCAACAGCUCAAAGGUGGAAAACAGAACAAGUCUGCCUUCCUCCACAGGAUAACCCUUCACCUCCUUGAGAAGAGCCAAUAUGGCCUCCUUGAAUCAACUCUUUAGCAGAAUAAACACUCCCAGUUUCUUUAACCAACCUUUAGAUGACAUGUACACUGAGUGGUCCUUCUCUGGACAUUCCCCACCUUAUCGAUGUCCUUAAACUGUGGUGCCCAGAACCGAACACAAUACUCCAUGUGACGUCUAACAAGCGGGAGUACAUUUCCUGUAGCUAAUGAUUGAUUCCCAGGCCUCUAAAGAUAAGGAGAUUCACUCCCAUGAAGGUAACUCAAGCAUAAAUGUUUGUAAGCAUCAU
Molecule: non-coding RNA, 612 nt
Organism: Phascolarctos cinereus (koala)
Lineage: Eukaryota; Metazoa; Chordata; Mammalia; Diprotodontia; Phascolarctidae
Source: RefSeq, a predicted model, not a curated record